Molecule: ribosomal RNA, 383 nt
Filed under: uncultured eukaryote
Lineage: Eukaryota
Description: partial 18S ribosomal RNA
Rfam family: Eukaryotic small subunit ribosomal RNA
Source: RNAcentral
CAAUAGCGUAUAUUAAAGUUGCUGCAGUUAAAAAGCUCGUAGUUGGAUUUCUGGCAGGAGCGACCGGUCACACACUCUGUGUGUGAACUUGCGUUGUCUCUGGCCAUCCUUGGGAAGAUCCUGUUUGGCAUUAAGUUGUCGGGCAGGGGAUACCCAUCGUUUACUGUGAAAAAAUUAGAGUGUUUAAAGCAGGCUUAUGCCGUUGAAUAUAUUAGCAUGGAAUAAUAAGAUAGGACUUCGGAACUAUUUUGUUGGUUUGCGUUACGAAGUAAUGAUUAAUAGGGACAGUUGGGGGUAUUCGUAUUUCGUUGUCAGAGGUGAAAUUCUUGGAUUUCCGAAAGACGAACUACUGCGAAAGCAUUUACCGAGGAUGUUUUCAUUAA